AUUAGUCUAAUAUUAUAUUCAUUAAUAAAAUAUAAUUGAAUAUUAAAGAUAUAGAAAGCCUUUAUUAAUAAUAAAUAUGUUUUACAUGAAUAAAAUCAAUACUACGUAAACCAACCGAUUGACUACAAAACAAAUUCACUAACAUUAAAAAGUUAUUACAACUCUGUAUAUAGAAAAAACUAGAAAACCUUAUUAAUACUGAAUAUAUAAAUAAAAAAUAAAAAAACUAUUCCCUUCAAAUAAAAAAACUAAAAAAGCC
Molecule: long non-coding RNA, 259 nt
Filed under: Populus trichocarpa (black cottonwood)
Lineage: Eukaryota; Viridiplantae; Streptophyta; Magnoliopsida; Malpighiales; Salicaceae
Description: long non-coding RNA (PTRI_LNC003650)
Source: RNAcentral